CCUACGGGUGGCUGCAGUGGGGAAUAUUGGGCAAUGGACGCAAGUCUGACCCAGCAACGCCGCGUGAAGGAAGAAGGCUUUCGGGUUGUAAACUUCUUUUAAGGGGGAAGAGUAGAAGACGGUACCCCUUGAAUAAGCCACGGCUAACUACGUGCCAGCAGCCGCGGUAAUACGUAGGUGGCAAGCGUUGUCCGGAUUUACUGGGUGUAAAGGGCGUGCAGCCGGGAAGGCAAGUCAGAUGUGAAAUCUGGAGGCUCAACCUCCAAACUGCAUUUGAAACUGCUUUUCUUGAGUAUCGGAGAGGUAAUCGGAAUUCCUUGUGUAGCGGUGAAAUGCGUAGAUAUAAGGAAGAACACCAGUGGCGAAGGCGGAUUACUGGACGACAACUGACGGUGAGGCGCGAAAGCGUGGGGAGCAAACAGGCUUAGAUACCCCAGUAGUC
This 442-nucleotide ribosomal RNA is filed under the name uncultured Oscillibacter sp. Its description in RNAcentral is "bacterial SSU rRNA". It matches the Rfam family "Bacterial small subunit ribosomal RNA", at positions 338 to 795 of the family's 1533-position model. The record is from RNAcentral. Lineage: Bacteria; Bacillati; Bacillota; Clostridia; Eubacteriales; Oscillospiraceae.